GUUAGCUCAGUCGGUAGAGCAUCUGACUGUUAAUCAGAGGGUCGUUGGUUCAAGUCCAAC
RNAcentral lists this transfer RNA (60 nucleotides) under human gut metagenome. It matches the Rfam family "tRNA", at positions 8 to 63 of the family's 71-position model. From Rfam's summary of the family: Transfer RNA (tRNA) molecules are approximately 80 nucleotides in length. The record is from RNAcentral.